CACCCAAAUCGGACCUGAGGAAUUCCCGCCAGUCAAUUCCAGCUCCCCCGUCAUUCCACUCACCAGCCCUGGAUCUAGGGUGAGUCCCUCAGCCUCAGGCUCCUUCACUUGUGGGCAAGAAAUAUGCCGACUUCAUAGAUGGCUACGAGGAUGAAGAAUUCUACUUCUCAGAAUUUAACAAAAAGAACUAAGUGGCCUUCUGCUUCUGGCUUUGAUGGAGUAGCUUGGAGCAGCCUAAUGCUUCUGCUAAGACUUGGAAACGCUGAGCAAAAUACAAAAGAAAAGUUGUGUGUAUUCAUUCAAUGGAGUAAUAUGCAGUGAUGGAAAUAAGAACUCUCGCUACAAGCCAAAAUGUGGAUGAAUGUCACAAGCACGGUGUUAGGCCAAAGGAGCCAGUGCUCUAGGUCAGUGCUUCUCAAACGUGAGCGUGCUGCGCCUGCCUGUCACCUGGGGAGCUUGUUAAAAUGCGGGUUGUGAUUCGGUCUUCACAUUUCGCUGAACAUUUAGUGUAACGGUGAUGAAGUUGGAAGAAGGCGGCAUCUACGUAGGCAUCUGGACUAACCACGGCACUUUGGAGGCUGGUUCUUUAGAGAACACAUUCCAAGCUCCAUCUACAAAUAAAAAGUCUGUAUUACGUCUUGUUGGAAAGAAGAGCAGGAAGGCACUGAAGCUACCUCCGUGCACUAUUUGUUUCCUUAUUCAAAACUGCAGAAUUGAGCAGUGCUGGGGUGGAAAGAACACUGACAGGCCUCCAGUCCCACCUGCUCGUGUGAGGCGCUCUGUGGAGCUCCGGAGCUGCGGGGAGAGAGGACUCCCAAGUCCGAGGGGGCCAGGGCUUUUGUGACGUGUCCUGCAGUCUCCCGGAGAGAUGGCUGUGCUUAUCUGGCCUCCAAACAAACCCUUCCAGGGACCGGGGACAACUCCCAGGCAGUGCUUCGUGACUGGCUAUAAUCUGUGGCCACUCCAGCUUUCUCAUUCUCCUUCCAACACAUCAAGCUUUGUCACACCUCAGAGCCGGCGCACUUACUGCUUCAUCAGACUGGGAUGCUUUCUUCAAGAGCUGUCACCCCACGAGAAUGGGGCCAUCGUCUGCCGGGUGCUGCUGCCCCUCACAGAGGAGAUGCUCAGGAAAAGCUUAUUGAAUGGAUGAGUGGUUUUGUUUUUUGAUUGGUUUUUGCAGACAAGGGGCAUGGGAGACAGAAUUUGUUCCUUUAGGUUUGAAAUAUGUUUCAGCUUUGUCUUCUUCACUACAGGCUCGUCGGUUUGCACAGGAUUCUCAUAUUUAAGUGCAGAUCCCUGCAAGUGCACAAUGGGGGUAAUAAAGGCACCCAUCUCCUGGAGUUUUUAAGGGCACUAAAUGAGAAAUAUGCACAAGGUGCUUCUCACCGUGCCAGGCAGCUGUUUCCGGGAUGCUGUGCGAACUUGAUCUCAGAACCAGCAGCAGAAACACUGGUCUCGUCCGUCCCCUAAGAAAUGAGAAGACUUCCUUCAGGAGUUUGAACUGCUUCUAAGACAAUACGGGACAAUGACGUAGAAAUCUAGAAUUAAAAACUAUGUUGAGAGAUUUAUUCAUCCUUCAAGCAUGACCAGAUUGUUCUUCCUAAAUCAAACAUCAUUUUGGCCUUAAAGAAAUCUGAAAGCUCUCCAGUGAGUGUGGAAUAAAGUUGAAACUGUGUGGUUCACUGCUGAAGUCUCUGAUGAGGAGCAGAUGCUCAGAAUCAGGCUGCCUGGACUGAAAUCCAGGCUCCAUCACUAAUCGAUACUAGCAGAGAGACCUGGAACCAGUCACUUCUUAAUCCUUAGUUUAUUCAUCCAUGACACGAGAAUGACGGUGUCUCGUAGCACAGGGCCUGAUGCAUAGUGAACACACACAGAGUAAAUGCCGGUAUUAUGUGGACCUCUCCCUGCAUUUUUAGUCUUCUCUUCCGUGUACCCUUCUUCCAGAAUAGCCAUUCUCUGAAGACAUCUCAUCAUCUCCCACCUCUGUGUCUUUAAUCUGAUGUUUUUAAAGGAAAUCGAGGCUUGCUGAGGUCACAAAGAA
Equus caballus (horse) is the source of this 2041-nucleotide long non-coding RNA. The record is from Ensembl. Lineage: Eukaryota; Metazoa; Chordata; Mammalia; Perissodactyla; Equidae.